GUCGUGCCCUCCCUCCCCCACUGAAUCGAUAAAUAAUGCGACUUAUCAGAAAGAGAAAGAAUUGUUUACUUUUAAACCCUGGAUCCCAUAAAGGGAGAGGGGAGAGGCCUAAAGCCACAGAAGCUGUGGAAGGCGCCAUCCUGCCUGCCACAGGAAGGGCCUUGGACUGAGAGGACCGGAGCUGACUGGGGAUUAUUCAAAGCCAAAAGCCAACAGAGCCCCCAUGGAGAAGUGGAGGAUGCUCAGAUACUGCUAUGGAGCCCUGAGAAGUGAAAUGGGUCCAAGCCCUUGCCCAGGAUAGAGCGCUCCAAGCGCAUCCUCCGGGGACCCUUUUAAUCAGUGAAUUGUUCACCUCUCACUGUUUCUUCCCAGCAGAGCUAAGAGACUUCUAGAGCCUCUUGUGGAUGGUCAGCGAUAGCCCUGGUAUGACCAGGAGGUGGCGAUUUCUGUUCUAGGUCCCUCAGCAAAGACUAAGCAGGACAAGCCUGGCUACUGUGUUAGGAGGAGCUGUAGGGAAAGGGAAGGACAAGAUGGGCCACCACAUGCCUGUGUCCACUGCUGGCCACACCCAGAGUGCUAGGGGUUUGUGGCAGUGACUGGGGCCACCUAGAGCAGUUCUAGGGUUCGUAGUCAUUCUCUCUGAGUCAUGGAAAACUGCCCAGGAGGCGAGUCCCACCUAAGAGAGUAUGUGUAGCACUGGCACGGCCUGCUGCCUUGCAAAUGACCACAUUUCAUGAAAGAAAGCCAGGGCCACAGACAGGAACCAAAGGAAAUCAGUCACUUAGGGGAAGAUAACGAAUCCACAAAGUGAAAAAGGGAAAGAAAAAAAGAGGCAACUUCAACACUCCAACCCAUGGGAGCAGAACGACUUUCAGCUUUCGCAGGGGGAUAAUCACUGCAAGUCCAGCUUGAAGAGGGUGAUUUCAGGAUCUACAUGAGAAUAAGGCGCAAUUUUUUUUUUUUUUUUCUGAAAAAUACGGAAGGGUUCAUUUACAGCUGUUAAAGAUGGGCCGGUUUUAGGGCUAAAGCAAGACUCUGGUCAGAUGUUAACAACUCAGUUAUCCUGGGGAAAAAAUAACUGGCUCCCAACCCUUUCCCUUUUCAGCAUUUGCAGGAAAAGAAGGAGUAGGUAAAAUGCUUUAUUUCCUCUCAUUCUCCAUGGUGGGCAGGAGUUCACAUAACAAUUAUAAACCAUCUUUAACAGGAAAGCCAAGUAAAUCCUGUAGGGAUUUAUUUGGAGCUCCCUUUUUGCUAGAAAAUGAGUAUCAUGAACUAAAAAUGGACUCGUUUCCUCUCUCUCCAUCUUCCUCUCUUUCUUCUCUCCCCUCAUCUCCCACCCACCGCCAUGGUGGAAAAUGACUGUGGUCAAGAAGAUUGAACAUUUGAGCAAGACCAGAUGCCUUUAUAUCCAAUAGAUGCCACGGAGAGUAGAUCACAACACAUCUAACUGCUGUAUCCCCAUAUAAAAUAAUUUUAAUUUUC
RNAcentral lists this long non-coding RNA (1482 nucleotides) under Homo sapiens (human). RNAcentral describes it as "non-protein coding MIR122HG:10". Lineage: Eukaryota; Metazoa; Chordata; Mammalia; Primates; Hominidae. The record is from RNAcentral.